GCUGAACUUAAGCAUAUCAAUAAGCGGAGGA
This 31-nucleotide ribosomal RNA is filed under the name Tuber melanosporum (Perigord truffle). RNAcentral describes it as "partial 28S ribosomal RNA". The record is from RNAcentral. RNAcentral also lists the same sequence under 8 other names. Lineage: Eukaryota; Fungi; Ascomycota; Pezizomycetes; Pezizales; Tuberaceae.